Molecule: non-coding RNA, 148 nt
Filed under: Nomascus leucogenys (northern white-cheeked gibbon)
Lineage: Eukaryota; Metazoa; Chordata; Mammalia; Primates; Hylobatidae
Source: Rfam by way of RNAcentral
GCUGGGUGUGGUGGCGUGUGCCUGUAGUCCCAGCUACUUAGGAGGCUGAGGUGGGAGAAUUGCUUGAGCCUGGGAGGUUGGGGUUGCAGCGAGCUGUGAUCGUGCUGCUACACUCCAGCCUGGGCGACAGAGUGAGACCCUGUCUCAA